This is a long non-coding RNA of Nycticebus coucang (slow loris), 3674 nucleotides long. RefSeq lists it as uncharacterized. The transcript is spliced from 3 exons. NCBI's taxonomy places the organism in Eukaryota, Metazoa, Chordata, Mammalia, Primates, Lorisidae. The record is from RefSeq and is a predicted model, not a curated record.
GUGAGACAGCUUCCCUCCUGAGCCCAGAGGGGAGCCUCCUUUGGGCCAGUGACCUGUGUGGUGCAGCCCCAGGGAGGGUCCCCACUACCCUGCGUGGUGCAGCCCCAGGUUGGGUCCCAGUUACCUUGUGUGGUGAAGCCCCAGGUCCCUGUGCCAGCCCAGGAGACACAGGCAUUUCAGCAGCUUGCAUGUGUCUCUGUCUAGCUUUUCUUGGGCCACAGAAGCCAAGACAGCCACAGGUAUUCCAUCAGGCCAGAAGCAAACACCUUCACUUUGGGUUGUGAUCCACUGUCUUUGUGCUCUCUUUUAGCAUUUAGAAGUCAUGGCCAUAUCCAAAGGAUGUCCCUCUAAUAAUCAAGUCUCUUCUCUUUGCUAGGCCCAUCCUCACCAUUUCCUUCCUUUCUCAUCCAAGGAGGUUGCCCGGUUCUGUUUUUGUAACAACUUUAUUGAGUCCUAAUUCACACCACACACCCAUUUUAAGCAUAUAGUUCAGUGGGUUUCUUGUAUUCAUCACCAUACUCAACACAAAAUUGUGUUGCUAUUUGACCUCUUCCAGCUUCUCUCCCUGGUGAGUUAUGCCCUGCAGACAAUCCUGCUGAUCUUACGUAAAUUGGGUUUAUGGGGCCUCAGGCACUAGGCCACUGGCCAUCUCCACCCAGACGUACAGCCUGUCUUCAGACAUUGUAAAAGAGAUAAAAAGACAACUCCCAUGCAAACAUGCAAGGAACAGGCUCCAAGGAUUUUAUUCAAUUCAUUCAUUAACAAGGGAAGAGGUAUGAGUCAGACAUUAGAACUGGUUCAAAGAGUGUUUCAGGACCUAGGGAUUUGCAGGCAUUUUAAUAAAGGAAUGUUAAGAUAAGAUUGCUCAGUUAGGCACAAAACUGGUUGACAUCUUAAAAAACAAACUGCAUCAUUUGGGAGUGUAUUUUCUUACUUGUUUUAAAGUGUAGGUUUUCUUAUUGUUUAGGUAUGAUGAGGCCAACAGAUUAGGAGAUGAGUGCCACUGAAAAUACAGUUUGUUACUCAUGGCUCCCAGGGGAAGGGGGCUGCCACCCCACCCCACCCCACCCAGGGCCACAUUGGGAAGCCCAGAGUCUGCUGGAGGUUAAGACCCUCCUUUAUAGUGGUUUCUGUGGGUGAAAGGAGUUAGGUGAGGCCAGCAGGCUGGGCAGGGUUAGCAGCAGCAGCCGGUUUGAGUCACUCCAGCAGGGUGUUGACAGAGACGGUCCUGCUCAACAGAGGAAGAGAAUGGCUUUGUGGUGUUUUUGGUGGAAUGUACUUGCAGGGCAGUCACUUGCUAGCUCUAAGAAUGGACCAACCCUACCAGGGGUGGUCUCUCCCCCAAGAGGCCCCGAAUGCCAGAGCAUCAAGAAUAUAGAAAAUGAGAUAAGAGAGUUGAUCUCAAGUAGACAUAACUAUUUGUGCCUCUACUGGUAAAUAUCUUCCUGUUAAUGAGUGGACUAAGUGGCUUCCCCUAAUCCUUAGGUGGGGCUCUCCCUUUGUAUGACAUGAAAUGACAUUCAAUCCUCCUUUUCUUUUUGUCUCCAAGUUCUAGCCAUCAGUAUUAUCUUCAUAAAAUCUGUGGCAACUUCAGGUUAACUGCUGAGAGUGUGGACACUGGAACCUGGAUUCCAAUUUGGCUCUGCAACUGCAAGCCCUGUGCCCUUGGGCUUCACACCUGCCCUGUCUGUGCUUCAGGAGCCUUGUAGGGGAAGGAGGGACCUGGUCUCAAAGGGACAUUAUUAAAAUCAGUAGCUGCACGGUAUACAUUUUUCUAUGCUUUUACUUUCGAUCCUUCUGUGUCUUAAUAUUUAAGGUCAGAUCUCUGAGACUUCAAGCAUAUAGUUGGAUUUUAACUCAAGCUGAUCAUCUUUGUAUUGAAGUAGUUUGUUUACAUUUAAUAUACAUAAAGUUACAUUCAAGUUUAUUUUGACCAUCUCAUUAUUUGCUUUUUCUUUUUUUUUAGACAGAAUCCUGGUCUGUCACAAUCAUAGUAGCAUCAUCAUGGCUCACCCCAGCCUUAAACUCCUGAGCUUAAGUGAACCUCCUGCUUCAGCCUCCUGAGUAGCUGGUACUAUACGCAUGUACCACUGGGUGUAGCUAAUCUUUUUUUUCUGUUUUUAUUAGAGAUAGGGUCUUCCUCUUCCUCAGACCGAUCUUGAACUCUUGCCUCAAGCAAAUGAGCAACCAUACCUGCCUGCUUGUUAUUUAUUCCAUCUUGUUUUUUUUUUUUGGCCAGGGCUGGGUUUGAACCCACCACCUCUGGCAUAUGGGACCAGCACCUUACUCCUUGAGCCACAGGCACCGCCCCCAUCUUGUUUUUUUAAAACGCCUAUGAUGGGCUCCUUGAAUUAAUACACAGUAUUUUUAUUAUUCCAUUUCCUCCUUCCACUAACUUGUUAAACAUUCUUUGACUGUUCUUUUAGUGUUUGCUCUAGGGCAGUGCUGCCUAAUAGAACUUUCUCCUAUGAUAGAAAUACUCUGUGACUGUGCUGGCACCCGUGUAUGACUCCCUGCCCCAGGAUCUGGGGACAUCUGUGUUCCUCUGUAACAGGUAUGUGCAAACUUCCUUGGUGAAGGACCAGUUGGUAAAUAUUCUAGGUGUUCCAGGCUGUAUGAUUUCUACUUAACUCUGACAUAUAACUUGACAGCAGUCAUAGAUAACAUGAAAACAAAUUAGUGUGUCCUCUAAAAAUUUUAUUUACAAAUCAGAUUUGUGACCGGAAUAUUUGCGUACCACUGCUCUGUGGCCUCAUCCUCUUUGAGGUGACUUUGUUUCCAGGGCUCCAACUCAGAAUAGAGCCUUUUCAUGACAGACUAUUUCCUAACCUAAUCUUUUUGGUCCAGUGGUGAUAGCAGUUUUUUCACUAUUGCUUGUCCCAGUUAACACCUAUGUGGCUUUCUUAUUCUCACCCACAUCUGUUAAUAGUCUCUUAAUUAAACUUUCUUCAGUUGAACAUUUGAGUGUGCCAUCUUUUGCCUAAGAUUCCAACAUAUGUAACUUCACACUUACGUCAUAGCAAGUAUUUCACUGUGUCCUAAGUAACAAUAAGCAGUUUACAUAUGUAUCUCCUUAUAUCACCAUCAGCCUAGGGGCAGAUAUCAUGUCUUGGCUGUGUUCAUAUUCACCAUAAACCCUGUUGGUCCAUGCAAGCAACUGGAAUGCAAAAUCUUUCCUAAAUUGCAGGAGCAGUGUAGAAAUGAUGCCGGGAGAGGUCAGAAUUAGGAAAAAAGAUGAAGUGUUUUCUGAAGUAAACAGGUAGUGAAAGAGGAAAUUUUCCAGAUAGAUGGAGUAUGUAAAUUAGAGCUAGUAGACUUAGUCUCAAUGUCAUCAUGGGAAGGAAAAAUUAUCAGUACUUGGUGUGAACAGAGUCAACUGUUGAGUGGUGAGUGAGAUGGUGUGAACAGUCAGUUGUUGAGGAGUGGUGGGGGAGGAGAUGGUGUCAACAGAGUCAAUUGUUGAGGAGUGGUAGGUGAGGAAACGACAAGAGUCAGUUGUUGAGGCGUGGUGGCGGAGGAGAUGGUAUCAAUGGUCAGUUGUUGAGAAGUGGUGGGUGAGGAGAUGGUGUGAACAGAGUCAGUUGUUGCGGAGUGGUGGGUGAGGAGAUGGUGUGAACAGAGUCAGUUGUUGAGGAGUGGUGGAUGAGAUGGUGUGAACAGAGUCAGUUGUUGAG